Long non-coding RNA from Triticum dicoccoides, 232 nucleotides. RefSeq lists it as uncharacterized. The transcript is spliced from 3 exons. NCBI's taxonomy places the organism in Eukaryota, Viridiplantae, Streptophyta, Magnoliopsida, Poales, Poaceae. The record is from RefSeq and is a predicted model, not a curated record.
UUGAAUUUUUUGCCGACGUAAAUUUAAGGUCGUCACACAUUACAGAAAACUAUUUUCCAUUCUGUGUCUCUAUGCUCAUUUUGUGCCCGGGUGCAGCUGUGAAGGAACACUACAGGUAGAGAAGAAAGAAAGGAAGAAUGAUGGUUACUUUUCUUUAUAAAAUUUGGUUCAGGAUGCCGUUUUACCUGUUGUAAUACCUUCAGCAUAGAAGCAGUAGUGGUCUGCUCCUCCA